UACCAUAUAAAACAAAAAUUGAAGAUUUAGUACAAAGUACACUUACAGACUAGACCAAAAGAACAGAAUUGAGACUGAGAUUAAUUUCUAAUUUCUAAUUAAGAGGGAAGGGAAAAGAAAAGUGGUUCUGUUACCGUUCAGCAACAAUUUAUUGCCAAAUCAAUUGUUCAACUUAUCCAGUGUUUUACUUUUAAAUUUUUACCUAGAUUACUUUGACUAGUUAGAGCUUGCUCGCAUUCCAAAUUAAUUGGUCAUUCAGUGUGAUUUUUCAAAUUUUUCAAACAAAUUUAACUUGAAAAAUAUAAACUUCUUUUUGAAGAAUCAAUUAGAGAGAGAUCUUUAGCAAAUAAAAAAAUAUGAAAUUGUUUUUUUGGUUUUACUGACAAAUUUUACUGGAAAAAUUUAAACUCUUUUUAUUUAUGAAGAACCAGUUUUAACAUUAUUGUUUGUAAAUGAAAAAUUACCUCAGUUUA
Bolinopsis microptera is the source of this 473-nucleotide long non-coding RNA. RefSeq lists it as uncharacterized. NCBI's taxonomy places the organism in Eukaryota, Metazoa, Ctenophora, Tentaculata, Lobata, Bolinopsidae. The record is from RefSeq and is a predicted model, not a curated record. The transcript has 3 exons.